RNAcentral lists this ribosomal RNA (465 nucleotides) under uncultured bacterium. RNAcentral's name for it is "partial 16S ribosomal RNA". It matches the Rfam family "Bacterial small subunit ribosomal RNA", at positions 28 to 507 of the family's 1533-position model. The record is from RNAcentral.
GACGAACGCUGGCGGCGUGCUUAACACAUGCAAGUCGAACGGAAAGGCCCCUUUGGGGGUACUCGAGUGGCGAACGGGUGAGUAACACGUGAGUAACCUGCCCUUGACUUCGGGAUAACUUCAGGAAACUGGGGCUAAUACCGGAUAGGAAUCCUUGCUGCAUGGUGGGGGUUGGAAAGCUUCGGCGGUUUUGGAUGGACUCGCGGCUUAUCAGCUUGUUGGUGGGGUAGUGGCUUACCAAGGCUUUGACGGGUAGCCGGCCUGAGAGGGCGACCGGCCACAUUGGGACUGAGAGACGGCCCAGACGCCUAGGGGAGGCAGCAGUGGGGAAUAUUGCACAAUGGGCGGAAGCCUGAUGCAGCAACGCCGCGGGCGGGAUGACGGUCUUCGGGUUGUAAACCGCUUUCAGCAGGGGCGAAGCUUGUGGUGACGGUACCUGCAGAAGAAGCACCGGCUAACUACGUG